This 1504-nucleotide long non-coding RNA is filed under the name Nicotiana benthamiana. RNAcentral describes it as "long non-coding RNA (NBEN_LNC025900)". Lineage: Eukaryota; Viridiplantae; Streptophyta; Magnoliopsida; Solanales; Solanaceae. The record is from RNAcentral.
CUAUGCUUGUAAAUAAGCAUUAUUAAGACCUGGGGGUGGGGGGGGGGGUGGGGCAAUGGGGGGGGGGGGGGGGCAAUGUUUUGGUUCUCUUUCAUCGUCCCUAGCAAACUUCCAUCAGCAAGAAUUUUGUUUGUUUGCUGCCUGUUGUAUGAGUUCUAGAGACUUGGUUGGACUAAUCAAAGCAAUAGUUUUGAGAAUUUGGUUGUAAAUAGUUUUCACUGCUUGAAGCACUUAAUCUUCCAAUUAAGAUCUCCCAGUAAAUAUUUAGUGACGGACAACUUAAUACAUAAUUAUAUAGCCAGUGAAGCAACUUAGAGAAAAUGAUUUACCCUUUCUCAGCCAUCAAGUCAAAAGACUAGAAGGGCAACAUCAAAACUAAACUCACACUUUCUGGACACCCUGCUGUAUGCAACACCUAAUACGGGGUUGGUGAUGUUCAUACUUGUUAUUUGAUCAAGGAUGAAAGUAAAGCCUCAAUUUUUCUGUAUGAACUUUGCGGUGCUUAAUGUUCUAUUUUUCUUUUUUAACCUCCUUUCAGAAUUUUUCCUACUUUUUCUUUUGAUGGCAUCUUUGACUAGUUUCUUAUAUGGAAGCUGUGUAAAUAAAAGAAAGGUGCUUAGAAAUUAUUGGAAAGAUGCAGGAUGAAAAUACUUUCGCGUUUCAAAAUGGUUAGGAAGAUCGUGCUUAGCAAUUACUGGAAAGAUGCAGGAUGAAAAUACUUUUGCAUUUCAAAAUGAUUAGGAAGAUGUUACUGUAUGAGAUUCUGUUCCGACUGUUAAGAAGCUUAAUGACAUUCUAUAGGGUAGUUGUUUAAUUUAGUUGGCACUGCUCUGCCAAUGAGCUGAGUAUUUCAAUUGCUAGAAUGAUAUUUAAUAUUUAUGAUUUUUAGUGUCCUAAUAGGAAGGGAGCCUUUUGGAAGACACCUUUAGUAUUUCCAGUAAUUUCAGAAAAUGAACUAUUUUCUUUAAUGCACUUAAUGGCUGUCUAGCAUUGUACAGAUACAAAGACAUCACUACAGUGUUGACCAAAUUCAUAUCUUAGUAUUUUUCAUUGAGAUUGUUGUUUCCAUCUUUCUCUCUCUCUAGUCUGUAUUUAAACUGAGUGUUAUUUGUCGAGAAUCAUAUUAUCUGUAGAUUCUCAAACUUUUUGGUAACCGGAUGUGUAUAGGAGAUAUUCCAACUUUUAAUAAAAUUAUUCACCUUAUAAGAAAAGAAGAGAAAGCAUCAGAAACGUCGUUCACAUUUGGUGUUUGCUGUUUCCUUUAGUAAAAAGUUAUAUGAAUUUGUUGAGCUAGCUGGCUUUGCUAGAGUUUUCUCUUUUAAUGUUCUGUUUCAAUAUGAAAAAUCAACAGUUUUUCAUUUUAGCUUGUUCAUUCACUGUCUAGUGUCCAUGAAGGCACUGUAGAAGCAAAAGGAUGAAAAAAUAAAGACUGCAUGUUGUUCAAAUUUUUGAUUCAUUGUUUUGUUCUUUUCCGCUGUUUUGAGAAAUUUGUAUCUUGAUUGCC